This 1252-nucleotide unclassified non-coding RNA is filed under the name Hevea brasiliensis (rubber tree). The record is from RNAcentral. Lineage: Eukaryota; Viridiplantae; Streptophyta; Magnoliopsida; Malpighiales; Euphorbiaceae.
CCAGAAUAUUAUUGAUAAUUAAAUUGCCACUCUUACACACAUAUAUACAAGACCAUCAAAUACAAACAAUAGACGUCCUAUGACUUCAACUGAAAUGGAGCCACCAGAAAUUCUAUCAUCCUACUCCUGUACGGCCGUACGGCUACUGUCAUCCUUCACCGGAGGUCCCUGACCAAUAACGGUCAAUAUAACAAAAGCCGCGUAUAAUAUUGCAACCACAGCAGUGAAGUUGACGAGCAAGGCCUCAGGGCUGUAUUUGGCAAGUCCCGAGUUCUCAAGGAAUGUGAGCUUCUCUAAUAACCCAAUUGCAGCAUUUGCAACUGCCAAAAUAUACGCGAACGCCCCUAAUAACACAUGCCAUGGCAGGGACUCGCUCAUAACUGCAGUUGAACCUCCAGGGAAGAAAAAUACAAGAAAUCCGUAUAUCCACUGCAAAGUAAUUUAGAUCAAGUUCCAUAAAAAAAUUCACUCCGAAAAAGGUAUUAAUAGAACCCUAUUCUAGAAUCAUUGGUGGAGCCAAAAUCUCCUCCUAUAAUAGGAUGUGGGGGGCAACGGUAGGCCUAGAAAGUUGCGAGCAUUGGAGGGCGCCUCCCCUAACUCUGCUGCCUCCAAAUGUACCAAUUGAUAAGGUACGUUACUGCUGUGAUAACUAUUAUAUUAACAAGUAUUUAAUGGCCAUGCGACUUGGUGGCCAGAAACGUGCCAAUAUAAUCCAUCAUUUAGCUCGCUUACAAUUCCUGAUUGAGCAAGAAACUAUAUAAAGUGAGUUGGUGAUUACCUGAAUGCCAUAGAGGACAAUGAUCGUGAUCCCAAGCCAUGAAUGCAGGCUGUAAAGGUUAGCAAUGCCGCUCUCAUUAUGAAAUUUAAAAACCGUGUAGAUGCCAAUUAUACCCAGAAUUAGUGCAACGGCAUGGAGAACCAGAUGUAUGAGUUUCUUCUCUUGUUUCUUCAAAGGAAGUGAUUUAUAACUUAUAAUGGCUUCGCCUCCUAUGAUGAUCAAGCCAAUUAGCAUCAAAACGGGAUGAAUAUUGAAGAUGAGACUUUUGUUGGAAGCUUCCCAGGCCAAGCCACCUCUAAAGUGUAUGCACCAAACCAAUACCAGAACCGCACCAGCGAUCGCAAGUGCGUGCGUAACAAACGUGAAUGGUAGUGCUUUAAACUCGAAAGCCAUAUAUGCUCACCUUGGUUUCUUCUUCUCAAUCAGCUUGAAACCAAAGGAUCACAGGGAAGAAAAAGAAGAGAGAGAGAGAGA